Molecule: microRNA, 24 nt
Filed under: Heligmosomoides polygyrus
Lineage: Eukaryota; Metazoa; Nematoda; Chromadorea; Rhabditida; Heligmosomidae
Description: hpo-miR-10111-5p
Source: miRBase by way of RNAcentral
GUAGAGCAAUUAUUGUCGGGCUCG